This 495-nucleotide ribosomal RNA is filed under the name uncultured bacterium. RNAcentral describes it as "partial 16S ribosomal RNA". It matches the Rfam family "Bacterial small subunit ribosomal RNA", at positions 28 to 507 of the family's 1533-position model. The record is from RNAcentral.
GACGAACGCUGGCGGCGUGCCUAAUACAUGCAAGUAGAACGCUGAAGGAGGAGCUUGCUCUUCUGGAUGAGUUGCGAACGGGUGAGUAACGCGUAGGUAACCUGCCUGGUAGCGGGGGAUAACUAUUGGAAACGAUAGCUAAUACCGCAUAACAGUAGAUGUUGCAUGACAUUUGCUUAAAAGGUGCAAUUGCACCACUACCAGAUGGACCUGCGUUGUAUUAGCUAGUUGGUGGGGUAACGGCUCACCAAGGCGACGAUACAUAGCCGACCUGGGAGGGUGAUCGGCCACACUGGGACUGAGACACGGCCCAGACUCCUACGGGAGGCAGCAGUAGGGAAUCUUCGGCAAUGGACGGAAGUCUGACCGAGCAACGCCGCGUGAGUGAAGAAGGUUUUCGGAUCGUAAAGCUCUGUUGUAAGAGAAGAACGAGUGUGAGAGUGGAAAGUUCACACUGUGACGGUAUCUUACCAGAAAGAGACGGCUAACUACGUG